CUUUAUUGAAGAUAUGCCAAAUUAAAGGAAAAGAUGUCCACUUCAUGGUCAGGGCAUCUAUUCCCUUUGCCAGAGUGAGGGUGGCAUCUUCUGCAGAAGGCAUAUGGAAUUGGUUGAUUCUUCACUGUGGCUAUUGUAGCAAAGGGGGAACACAGAAGGCGCAGACAUGAACGGAACAAUUUUCUAAAUGCCACAGGCAGCAUACCAAUUUCAGCAGGAUCAAGGCUUAAAAAAGUCUUAUCAUAUACUGACCCAUAGGUAAAGAUAUAUCUUCAACCUGAUUCUUUUCCCAGGAUGCUUCCCUUACAAGGUGUUUCAAACUGGGGACUUCCUGGUGGAGAUUUCAAACUCCCCAGGGAAACACUUACAUUUGUAGCUAAGCUCAACUACUUUAAGUUAAAAAUAAAUAAAUAAUAU
Pelobates cultripes (western spadefoot toad) is the source of this 417-nucleotide non-coding RNA. The record is from the annotation of a GenBank genome assembly. Lineage: Eukaryota; Metazoa; Chordata; Amphibia; Anura; Pelobatidae.